Non-coding RNA from Leguminivora glycinivorella, 74 nucleotides. The record is from the annotation of a RefSeq genome assembly. NCBI's taxonomy places the organism in Eukaryota, Metazoa, Arthropoda, Insecta, Lepidoptera, Tortricidae.
GCCUGCAUGGCGCAGUUGGGAGCGCGGCUGGCUGGCAAAGCCAGAGGUCGCAGGUUCGAGUCCUGCCGGAGGUG